UACGGAAGGCAGCAGUGGGGAAUAUUGCACAAUGGGCGCAAGCCUGAUGCAGCCAUGCCGCGUGUAUGAAAAAGGCCUUCGGGUUGUAAAGUACUUUCAGUCGUGAGGAAGGUGUUAAGGUUAAUAACCUUAGCAAUUGACGUUAGCGACAGAAGAAGCACCGGCUAACUCCGUGCCAGCAGCCGCGGUAAUACGGAGGGUGCGAGCGUUAAUCGGAAUUACUGGGCGUAAAGGGCACGCAGGCGGUUAAUUAAGUUGGAUGUGAAAUCCCCGGGCUUAACCUGGGAAUGGCAUUCAAGACUGGUUAGCUAGAGUCUUGUAGAGGGGGUAGAAUUCCACGUGUAGCGGUGAAAUGCGUAGAGAUGUGGAGGAAUACCGGUGGCGAAGGCGGCCCCUGGACAAGACUGACGCUCAUGUGCGAAAGCGUGGGGAGCAAACAGGGAUUAGAUACC
Molecule: ribosomal RNA, 452 nt
Filed under: uncultured bacterium
Lineage: Bacteria
Description: bacterial SSU rRNA
Rfam family: Bacterial small subunit ribosomal RNA
Source: RNAcentral